Molecule: non-coding RNA, 512 nt
Organism: Pelobates cultripes (western spadefoot toad)
Lineage: Eukaryota; Metazoa; Chordata; Amphibia; Anura; Pelobatidae
Source: the annotation of a GenBank genome assembly
UAAAUUUCGUUUUUCUGAGAUAUGUUUUCUUAUUUUGUCAAACACAGAAGGAUGAAAGCUUGACUUGAAACAGCCAUGAAUUAAGCCUGCAACCAUGAGGGGCACUAACUCACCAAGUUCUGUUAUGGAAAUAAAUACACGAAACACUGACCAUGAUAAGCUCAAGACGUCAGAACAUUUCUAACACCUCCCAGCAGUCUAUACCAGGGUUGCUGACAUGUAGGAUUGCCCAAAAUCCCAACAGACAUGUAGUUUGGAGGAAUGGACUUAAUUAAAACAAUGAUCUACCAUGAACAAGCCUUGAAGAAGUCAGACAGCCUCAGGUUCUAGAUAGUCUCUGGAACAAAGUCACACCUAGCUGGACAACACUGGAAUAGUAUACUGUCAAUGAGUCUCUGCAGUGGAAAGAAUAAAAUAUUACUUUCAUGAAAUACCUGUUGUCACAUAAAAACUGUUUUUUAAUAGAUAAACCUAUUGGUAUUCGUUUUGAAUUUUAAUAAAUAAUUAUAAAC